Mastomys coucha (southern multimammate mouse) is the source of this 633-nucleotide long non-coding RNA. RefSeq lists it as uncharacterized. The transcript has 5 exons. The record is from RefSeq and is a predicted model, not a curated record. Lineage: Eukaryota; Metazoa; Chordata; Mammalia; Rodentia; Muridae.
GCUUGUAACAAAGAGAUCAUUAAAUGCAAGAUGGCUGGGUGACCAUACCUCCUGAAUGCUGUCUAAUUGUUGGUGCCUCCCACAUGAACAUCUAGAAAUGAAGUGGACAGUAGAAGAGAGCCACAUCUCUGCCAACCUUGAAGAUGGAGGAAACGAACAGCUAAUGUCUCAACUGGACACAUCAUGAAAUGAAGUUCUACUCUUUUUCUUCUAGGUGGGAUUGAAAGAGGAGGAAAGAAAAAAGGUCUUUAUAAAGAAGAUACUGGCUUUAUGUCUUGUUUUACUUAUGAAGGAGCAGAAGUUUCAAUUAAUCAAAGAAUGCCUGGACUACAGACCCUUUUGGGGACUUAUAACUUAGGUAACUUCAGUCUUUAGAAACAGCAUGAGUCCACAAGGAUACCACACUAUAAGAGAAGCUUGUCAUCAUUCAACAUGUUAUUGAAAUUUAAGGCUUUUUGGAAUGAAAUUGUGGCCAGAACUUCUUUACUGUGCCUGAUGUCUUCUGUUAAGGCUGAAGUGGGAAGAUCAGAGAUCCAAAGCUUGUUCAACCUACAGAGUUAGUUCAAGACCAAGGUAGAAAACAUAUAAAUAGAUUGCCACAUAUGCAAGAAAUAAAAUAUUGAGAAUAAUGUG